RNAcentral lists this long non-coding RNA (374 nucleotides) under Mytilus galloprovincialis (Mediterranean mussel). The record is from RNAcentral. Lineage: Eukaryota; Metazoa; Mollusca; Bivalvia; Mytilida; Mytilidae.
UCUCUGUAUUAAAGGCUGUGGACUUUCUAUAAAAAUCCUGAUUCAUUUGCCACAAAAUCCCCUUCCUCCAUCAAAUGCAAUGAAACAGCAAAAAAAAAUGCCCUACAUCAAGUUUCCACUUGGAACACGUACCAAAUGGCCCAUCUCUACUAUUCAUCACAUCCCCAGUUCUGACACAACCGAGGCCUGAAAAAUUCGUACAAAAAUGGCCACAGAAGGGCACACAAACCUUAAAAUAAUGCAAUAUAGUGGAACAUGCAUGCUACUUGUGAGCACACACGAGCAAAUAUAUGUUAACAGUGUUACUUACUAAAUGCAAAAUAUAUUUAAAUAUAUAGGCAAUUAAUCAUCAGUUAUUUAAAGUACCUUGAAAC